Pelobates cultripes (western spadefoot toad) is the source of this 1020-nucleotide non-coding RNA. The record is from the annotation of a GenBank genome assembly. Lineage: Eukaryota; Metazoa; Chordata; Amphibia; Anura; Pelobatidae.
ACUUGUGACACAUGCCAACGAGUGGGGAAGAGAGGGGACCACCCUAAAGCUCGGCUGUCACCCAUGCCUGUGAUCGAGGAACCGUUUAGCCGGGUGGCAGUCGACCUAGUGGGACCCCUACCUAACCCCAGUCCCUCGGGUAAGAAAUAUAUUCUUACAGUAGUGGACUAUGCUACCCGCUACCCAGAGGCUGUCGCUCUGACGAAUAUCCAGGCUGACACUGUCGCCAGUGCACUAGUCGGGAUAUUUACCAGAGUGGGAUUCCCUCAUGAAAUCCUAUCUGACCGAGGGACCCAGUUCACCGCAGAUCUAACCCAGCAGUUAUGGAAGGUCUGUGGUGUCAAGACCCUGCUCAGCUCCCCGUACCACCCCCAGACUAACGGUCUCUGUGAGUGCUUUAAUGGUACCCUAAAGCAAUUGCUAAGGACCUUUACAGCGGAAUACAGAGACUGGGAGCGAUUCUUGCCGCACCUCUUGUUCGCAUAUCGAGAGGUGCCCCAGGAAUCCACAGGGUUCUCUCCCUUCGAGCUGCUCUAUGGACGGCGAGUACGAGGCCCCCUCGACCUCAUCCGAGAGCACUGGGAGGGAGAGAUAGAGCAUGAGGGCGUUCCUAUCGUACCUUAUGUGCUGGAGAUGCGGGACCGCAUGGGGCACCUAGCCAGAAUGGCCCGAGAACAUCUCCAGGCAGCCCAGGGACGUCAGAAACACUGGUACGAUCGGGGCGCCCGAUUGAGAACGUUCCAAGUAGGGCAGAAAGUUCUGGUACUUAGACCUGUCAAGGGAAACAAGCUGCAGACCUCCUGGCAAGGCCCUUACAAGUUAGUGGCCCAGGUAUGUGACACCACCUAUGUAAUUGCCAGUAGCCAAGAUGAAAGGGUCCAGAAGUCGUUUCAUGUCAAUUUGUUAAAAGAAUACCAAGAAAGGCCCGAAGAUAUAGCGGCCAUAUGUAUCCCGGCCACUGAAGACCCUGACAGUCUUCCCAUCCCAGAUUUGUUAGCUGACUCCGAGCCAAAAACUCUG